Molecule: long non-coding RNA, 400 nt
Filed under: Rosa chinensis
Lineage: Eukaryota; Viridiplantae; Streptophyta; Magnoliopsida; Rosales; Rosaceae
Description: sRNA RchiOBHm_Chr3g0456521
Source: RNAcentral
GUCCUCCCGAGUGACGACGAAGACGACGAAGACGAAGACGACGCUGACGACGAAGACGCUGACGACUGACGACGCUCAUCCUCAGUCCUCCCGGGAGCUCAUCUCUGUCGAAUCACGACGAAGACGACGCCGACGACGAUGACUACGCCGACGACGCUGAAGAUUGACGACGUCGAAGAGUGACUUUGCUAGCCUCCUCCCGACCUCAUCUCUCUCGAAUCACGACGAAGACGACUGAAGCUGACUUCGCCGACGACGCUGACGACUGACGACGCCGAAGACUGACUUUGCUAGCCUCUUCCCGACCUCAUCUCUCUCGACUCACGACGAGGAUUGACGCUGACGACUGAAGCUGAUGCAACCGAACAACUGAAGACUGACGCCGACGACUGACGCCGAC